This 501-nucleotide ribosomal RNA is filed under the name uncultured bacterium. Its description in RNAcentral is "bacterial SSU rRNA". It matches the Rfam family "Bacterial small subunit ribosomal RNA", at positions 28 to 507 of the family's 1533-position model. The record is from RNAcentral.
GACGAACGCUGGCGGCGUGCCUAAUACAUGCAAGUCGAGCGGAAUGAUGAAGAAGCUUGCUUCUUCUGAUUUUAGCGGCGGACGGGUGAGUAACACGUGGGCAACCUACCUUGUAGAUUGGGAUAACUCCGGGAAAACCGGGGCUAAUACCGAAUAAUCCAUUUUGCUUCAUGGCGAGAUGUUGAAAGACGGUUUCGGCUGUCACUACAAGAUGGGCCCGCGGCGCAUUAGCUAGUUGGUAGGGUAAUGGCCUACCAAGGCGACGAUGCGUAGCCGACCUGAGAGGGUGAUCGGCCACACUGGGACUGAGACACGGCCCAGACUCCUACGGGAGGCAGCAGUAGGGAAUCUUCCACAAUGGACGAAAGUCUGAUGGAGCAACGCCGCGUGAGUGAAGAAGGUUUUCGGAUCGUAAAACUCUGUUGUAAGGGAAGAACACGUACGAGAGUAACUGCUCGUACCUUGACGGUACCUUAUUAGAAAGCCACGGCUAACUACGUG